AGCUGGUCUGAGAGGACGACCAGCCACACUGGAACUGAGACACGGUCCAGACACCUACGGGUGGCAGCAGUCGAGGAUUUUUCUCAAUGGGGGAAACCCUGAAGGAGCGACGCCGCGUGGGGGAUGAAGGUCUUCGGAUUGUAAACCCCUGUCAUCUGGGAACAAUGUGAUCUACCCAACACGUGGAUUAUUGAUAGUACCGGAAGAGGAAGCCGUGGCAACUCUGGCCAGCAGCCGCGGUAAUACAGAGACGGCAAGCGUUGUUCGGAUUCAUUGGGCGUAAAGGGUGCGCAGGCGGCUCGUUAAGUCGGAUGUGAAAUCUCACAGCCUAACUGUGAUAGGUCAUUCGAAACUGGCGGGCUUGAGGACUGGAGAGGAGACUGGAAUAGUCGGUGUAGCGGUGAAAUGCGUAGAG
This 415-nucleotide ribosomal RNA is filed under the name uncultured bacterium. RNAcentral's name for it is "bacterial SSU rRNA". It matches the Rfam family "Bacterial small subunit ribosomal RNA", at positions 285 to 695 of the family's 1533-position model. The record is from RNAcentral.